Non-coding RNA from Camelina sativa (false flax), 221 nucleotides. The record is from RefSeq and is a predicted model, not a curated record. NCBI's taxonomy places the organism in Eukaryota, Viridiplantae, Streptophyta, Magnoliopsida, Brassicales, Brassicaceae.
UUACUUGGGUGCACAAUAUUUUCCAGGGCAUACUUACCAACGAGACAAGGUGUCUGCGAUGUGAAACAGUGACUGCAAGAGACGAAACAUUCCUAGACCUAAGCCUUGAUAUCGAACAGAACAGUUCGAUAACUAGCUGUUUGAAAAACUUCAGCUCUACAGAGACUCUUCACGCUGAAGACAAAUUCUUCUGUGACAAAUGCUGCAGCUUACAAGAAGCA